GCUUGAUUGAUUUAUUUAUUAUUAGGAUUUAUUUCUUUGUAAUGGAUUAGGUUUUAUUUAUUUAUUAUUAGGAUUUACUUGUUUAUUUUAUAUAAUUGGCACACCUGUGUUGGUACCUGAGGCUUUGAGCUCUGUCUGCUGCCCUGGUAAGAGCAAAUUAAAAAUCAGAUAUAUUAAAGUGUCUGAAAAAGUGAUUCCACUGCAUCCCUGGAGCGAAAACACACCCAGGAAAGCUCCUGCCUGGAAAGCUGAACAAUCUGGAGCACUUUGGCAUUUUAGGGGCAUUUUGGGGAUACAUUUAGAGCCUCUUUAGCUUGUGCUGGCAUUAAGGCUGUGAAUGUAUAAAUGGGAUAUAAUCCCAAAUACCUUCCCACAGCCCAGCUGGGGCUGGCACAUCCCUGCAGUGCUGGGUUGGCUCCUUCCCCUGGAAAAUCUCCUCCUUCCCCUGGAAAAUCUCCUCCUUCCCCUGUGAAACCUCUUUCCCGUAGAAAAUUUCUUCCUUCCCUGGAAAAUCUCUUCCUUCCCCUGGAAAAUUUCUUCCUUUCCCUGGAAAAUCUCUUCCUUCCCCUGGAAAAUUUCUUCCUUUCCCUGGAAAAUUUCUUCCUUUCCCUGGAAAAUUUCUUCCUUUCCCUGGAAAAUCUCUUCCUUCCCCUGGAAAAUCUCUUCCUUCCCUGGAAAAUCUCUUCCUUCCCCUGGAAAAUCUUCUCCUUCCCCUGUGAAACCUCUUCUUUCCCGUAGAAAAUUUCUUCCUUCCCCUGGAAAAUUUCUUCCUUUCCCUGGAAAAUCUCUUCCUUCCCCUGGAAAAUCUCUUCCUUCCCCUGUGAAGCCUCUCCUUCCCCUGGAAAAUUUCUUCCUUUCCCUGGAAAAUUUCUUUCUUCCCCUGGAAAAUUUCUUCCUUUCCCUGGAAAAUUUCUUCCUUUCCCUGGAAAAUUUCUUCCUUCCCCUGGGAAAUCUCUUCCUUCCCCUGGAAAAUCUCUUCUUUUCCCUGGAAAAUCUCCUCCUUCCCCUGGAAAAUCUCUUCCUUCCUCUGGAAAAUCUCCUCCUUCCCCUGUGAAACCUCUUCUUUCCCAUAGAAAAUUUCUUCCUUCCCCUGGAAAAUUUCUUCCUUUCCCUGGAAAAUUUCUUCCUUUCCGUGGAAAAUCUCCUCCUUCCCCUGGAAAAUCUCUUCCUUCCCCUGGGAAAUCUCUUCCUUCCCCUGGAAAAUCUCUUCCUCCCCCUGGAAAAUCUCUUCCUUUCCCUGGAAAAUCUCUUCCUUCCCCUGUGAAGCCUCUCCUUUCCCGUAGAAAAUUUCUUCCUUUCCCUGGAAAAUCUCUUCUUUUCCCUGGAGAAUCUCCUCCUUCCCCUGGGAAAUCUCUUCCUUCCCCUGGGAAAUCUCUUCCUUCCCCUGGAAAAUUUCUUCCUUUCCCUGGAAAAUUUCUUCCUUUCCCUGGAAAAUCUCCUCCUUCCCCUGGAAAAUCUCCUCCUUCCCCUGUGAAACCUCUUUCCCGUAGAAAAUUUCUUCCUUCCCCUGGAAAAUCUCCUCUUUCCCCUGUGAAACCUCUUCUUUCCCGUAGAAAAUUUCUUCCAUCCCCUGGAAAAUUUCUUCCUUCCCUUAGAAAAUCUCUUCUUUCCCCUGCCUGCCUCCCUCCCUGUGUCUGGACUUGUUCACAAAAGCAGGAGUGCUCACCUCCUCUCACUUCUGCUGAGCUCCUUCACUGAGUCACAGUGAAUUUUUUUCACUCUUUCCCAGCAAAAUGCCCUUUUUUGGGUGUUGGGGUUUUCCACAAGGCCCUUGGAGGCCUCCUGGAAGCUGCUUCACUUCCCUGCUGUGCCCACCUUGCCCCAGUCCCUGACUUUCUCAUGGGGGAGGUUCACAUCAGAGACUGGAAAGAAUUUUUCCCUCC
This 1883-nucleotide long non-coding RNA is filed under the name Taeniopygia guttata (zebra finch). RNAcentral describes it as "lncRNA (ENSTGUG00000026608.1)". Lineage: Eukaryota; Metazoa; Chordata; Aves; Passeriformes; Estrildidae. The record is from RNAcentral.